CGGUGCGAUGUGCCGUGCCAACCGAGCGGACAACAACGUGGUGAAAAUUUUGGGCCUACGGGAUCCUCUACCUGGAAUUUUGGAUGCUGGAGAGCGGCUCCAAAAUGAUAGAUAAUGAAGGGCAGUUUGGUAAAUUUAAGGCCAUUUAAAGCGUGGUGGGGAGAGAGCGGAUUACAGCUGGGUGGCCGUUAAAAAGAGUUCCCGGG
This 206-nucleotide long non-coding RNA is filed under the name Elaeis guineensis (African oil palm). RNAcentral describes it as "long non-coding RNA (EGUI_LNC014374)". The record is from RNAcentral. Lineage: Eukaryota; Viridiplantae; Streptophyta; Magnoliopsida; Arecales; Arecaceae.